CCUACGGGUGGCUGCAGUGGGGAAUAUUGGGCAAUGGGCGCAAGCCUGACCCAGCCAUGCCGCGUGAGUGAUGAAGGCCUUCGGGUCGUAAAGCUCUGUGGGGAGGGAAGAAAAUACCUUGGCUAAUAUCCAAGGGAACUGACGGUACCUCCUUAGCAAGCACCGGCUAACUCCGUGCCAGCAGCCGCGGUAAUACGGAGGGUGCAAACGUUGCUCGGAAUCAUUGGGCGUAAAGCGCACGUAGGCGGUUCGUUAAGUCGGAUGUGAAAGCCCUG
Molecule: ribosomal RNA, 275 nt
Filed under: uncultured Kofleria sp.
Lineage: Bacteria; Pseudomonadati; Myxococcota; Haliangiales; Kofleriaceae
Description: partial 16S ribosomal RNA
Rfam family: Bacterial small subunit ribosomal RNA
Source: RNAcentral